Molecule: long non-coding RNA, 598 nt
Filed under: Coturnix japonica (Japanese quail)
Lineage: Eukaryota; Metazoa; Chordata; Aves; Galliformes; Phasianidae
Description: lncRNA (ENSCJPG00005012147.1)
Source: RNAcentral
CCUGAUCUGAAGAUCACUAAAGUUAGGACACUCUUUUCAUAUUUUGUGGAAUGUACUAGCCAUGACUAAGUGUUUAUCUAUGGGUGGAAUAGUACAAAUAAACACUCUUACCAUGGUGAUGUUUGGAGGCAAUAACCAUGACUGAAUCUGUCUUACAUCCUGAUCAUGUUAGGAGAGCAUAGUAUCAGGUCCUGAUGAGACUCCCUUUGGAGAAGAAACAGGGUAGUGAAGAAUGCUGAGGCUCCUGUUCAAGCAGGUUGAUAUGCUGUGGCUUUCUUAGCCUAAUGAAGGAUCUCAAAAAACAUGGUUCUUCUGUACUGGUAAACUAAAGGAACAUACCAGGAACUCUGAAAAGGUUGAGCUGAAGGUCUUCAUUACCAGCGGAAGAAAACCCUGCAGCAAAUGAGACAACCAAAAAUACUUUGUGUCUUGGGAGCUGCUCUGCUUUAUAGAAACUUUCUUAAAAUCAUCUGUGAUUUAUACUGGAACUAAAAAUGUCUGUUAUAUUCCAGCUCCUAUGGUAAGUAUCUUGAAAGACCUCUGCCAACAGUCCCAGUGGAGUUGCAGUUGCCUCCAGUCUCAAACAAACAUAGAACUU